Molecule: long non-coding RNA, 1007 nt
Organism: Homo sapiens (human)
Lineage: Eukaryota; Metazoa; Chordata; Mammalia; Primates; Hominidae
Exons: 5
Source: RefSeq, a predicted model, not a curated record
CCUCAGCCUCACAAAAUGCCGGGAUUACAGGUGUGAGCCACUGUGCCCAGCUUUUUCUUGUUGUUUUAAAAACAUUGCAGCUGGUCUGUGUUGAUGGGUAAAGAGAGGAAACCAAGGAGGCAGGAGAGAAAAGGGGGAAGGGCUGAAGUAAUGGCUGUGAGUUGAUGAGAAGGACGAGGAGUUGGUGAGGAAAAGAGGUGGCUCAGGCAGCCAAUGUCACAUUGGAAGGUGCCACCUUGGAAGUGGCUCCUUCGGCCCCAGUUGAGCCUUCAGAUGAGGCAGCCCUGGCCGACAGCUUGAUUGCAACUUCAUGAAACACCCAAAGCCAGAAACAUCCAGAUACGCUUGCUGCUCCCAGACUCGUGACCCACAGGAAAGGUCACAUUCAUGGGUACCAGGGGUUACCACCUGGACAAGCCUUUUCGGGGGACACGAUUUGACCCAAGUCCAGCUGUUUGAAGCUGCUAAGUUUGGAGUAAUCUGUUGCACAGCCACAAGGAUCUUAGGCAGGUUUCUCAACCUCUGCACUCAUUUGGGGCCGGAUCAUUCUCUGUUGUGGGGACCGAGUGCUGGAGGUUAUCUUCCAGCAUCCCUGGCCUCCCCCGACUACCUGACUAGAUGCCAGCUGCACACCCCCACCCCCCACCCCAUGACAAGCUAAACUGAUGCCCCGGGGCAGGAUCCAGCACUCCGGUGGAGAACAUGGCUCAGUGGAUAGUCGGUUCCCGUUGCGUUUUGCCUCCUGUCUUCUGGUUUUGGCCUCUCUGGCUGCAGACCAGGAGCUCUGCACCUGAGAUUCUACCGCUAUGCCUAUUUUACAGAGAGGAGCUGGGGGAAGACGGGGGUCCGGGAAGGGCCAGGCUGGAGGGCUGUUUCCCCAGAGCCCACUUGGAGGGAGCUGGCUGGGCAGAUCUGACCAGCCCUGCGCCAGGCCCCGAGGAGCAGUCAGGGGACUCAGGGAGUCACAGCACAACGGCAGCUCCUCGGUCCCAGACGGAGGAGGGGGA